RNAcentral lists this transfer RNA (71 nucleotides) under Paracercion melanotum. RNAcentral's name for it is "tRNA-Val". The record is from RNAcentral. Lineage: Eukaryota; Metazoa; Arthropoda; Insecta; Odonata; Coenagrionidae.
AAUGUAAGUUAUUUUCUUACAAUUAGUACUUGUAUUUUAAUGAUAUUAUUUUGGGAUUUUUAGGCAGACUU